This 132-nucleotide small RNA is filed under the name Arabidopsis thaliana (thale cress). Its description in RNAcentral is "ATSL094100". The record is from RNAcentral. Lineage: Eukaryota; Viridiplantae; Streptophyta; Magnoliopsida; Brassicales; Brassicaceae.
AACACCAAAACCCUUUGUAAAUACCGCUUUUGUUUUUGUUUCUGUGUUUAUCUUGAAUUCUUUCACAAAUUUUGAUUACACAAGGGACUGUGUAAUUUAAGUUUGGGGGAGGGUUCAAGACGUAUUUGACUU